This 81-nucleotide small nucleolar RNA is filed under the name Rhagoletis pomonella (apple maggot). Its description in RNAcentral is "small nucleolar RNA Me28S-U3344". It matches the Rfam family "Small nucleolar RNA Me28S-U3344". From Rfam's summary of the family: Me28S-Um3344 is a member of the C/D class of snoRNA which contain the C (UGAUGA) and D (CUGA) box motifs. This family directs 2'-O-methylation of 28S U-3344. The record is from RNAcentral. Lineage: Eukaryota; Metazoa; Arthropoda; Insecta; Diptera; Tephritidae.
CUUUCGCAUGAUGAACACUUGAAAUUCUUGAUAGGAAGAGUAUGAAACCCAAAUGAGUACUAUUAACUAGCUGACUGCGUG